GCGCGCCUAGCUCAAUCGGAUAAAGCGUCAGACUCUUAUUUCCGUUCAACUUAUCAAUCUGAAGGCUGCGAGUUCGACCCUCGAGUUGGGCU
Fomes fomentarius is the source of this 92-nucleotide non-coding RNA. Lineage: Eukaryota; Fungi; Basidiomycota; Agaricomycetes; Polyporales; Polyporaceae. The record is from the annotation of a GenBank genome assembly.